Molecule: ribosomal RNA, 333 nt
Filed under: Triticum aestivum (bread wheat)
Lineage: Eukaryota; Viridiplantae; Streptophyta; Magnoliopsida; Poales; Poaceae
Description: partial small subunit ribosomal RNA
Source: RNAcentral
AUGCCAUCAAUGGCCCUGCUGCGCCACUUCUUCCUCCUCCGAACCAACGGUGAUCACACCUUGACAUGCGCCAAUUUCGUCACGUAUGGCAAGGCCAACACAAUCUUGAAGGCCGGGAAGAGGGCCGACAACUUCCGGAGCAAGUGGGUCAUGAUGGACGCCAAGUGUGUCCCCUCCCGGUUGGUGCUGCCUACGGAGAUGCCCCAGACUGGCAAAGGGUGGUCUUACGUGAAGCUUGCUGACAAUGGGGCGAAGUUGGUGCUCGAGAGGAUGAACACUGACCUGAAGCCGGGUAAUGCGAAGGCGGAGAAGCUGAUGGGGGCACACUCCUGA